GAAGGGUGCAAGCGUUAAUCGGAAUUACUGGGCGUAAAGCGUGCGUAGGCGGUUUCUUAAGUCCGUUGUGAAAGCCCUGGGCUCAACCUGGGAACUGCGAUGGAUACUGAGGAGCUGGAGUACGGUAGAGGAAGGUGGAAUUCCCGGUGUAGCGGUGAAAUGCGUAGAGAUCGGGAGGAACAUCAGUGGCGAAGGCGGCCUUCUGGACCAGUACUGACGCUGAGGCACGAAAGCGUGGGGAGCAAACAGGAUUAGAUACCCUGGUAGUCCACGCCCUAAACGAUGCGGACUGGACGUUGGGCACAACUUGGUGCUCAGUGUCGAAGCUAACGCGUUAAGUCCGCCGCCUGGGGAGUACGCUCGCAAGAGUG
This 371-nucleotide ribosomal RNA is filed under the name uncultured bacterium. RNAcentral describes it as "bacterial SSU rRNA". It matches the Rfam family "Bacterial small subunit ribosomal RNA", at positions 527 to 896 of the family's 1533-position model. The record is from RNAcentral.